This 870-nucleotide ribosomal RNA is filed under the name uncultured bacterium. RNAcentral's name for it is "bacterial SSU rRNA". It matches the Rfam family "Bacterial small subunit ribosomal RNA", at positions 28 to 866 of the family's 1533-position model. The record is from RNAcentral.
GACGAACGCUGGCGGCGUGCCUAAUACAUGCAAGUCGAACGAAACUUUCUUACACCGAAUGCUUGCAUUCACCGUAAGAAGUUGAGUGGCGGACGGGUGAGUAACACGUGGGUAACCUGCCUAAAAGAAGGGGAUAACACUUGGAAACAGGUGCUAAUACCGUAUAUCUCUAAGGAUCGCAUGAUACUUAGAUGAAAGAUGGUUCUGCUAUCGCUUUUAGAUGGACCCGCGGCGUAUUAACUAGUUGGUGGGGUAACGGCCUACCAAGGUAAUGAUACGUAGCCGAACUGAGAGGUUGAUCGGCCACAUUGGGACUGAGACACGGCCCAAACUCCUACGGGAGGCAGCAGUAGGGAAUCUUCCACAAUGGACGCAAGUCUGAUGGAGCAACGCCGCGUGAGUGAAGAAGGUCUUCGGAUCGUAAAACUCUGUUGUUAGAGAAGAACACGAGUGAGAGUAACUGUUCAUUCGAUGACGGUAUCUAACCAGCAAGUCACGGCUAACUACGUGCCAGCAGCCGCGGUAAUACGUAGGUGGCAAGCGUUGUCCGGAUUUAUUGGGCGUAAAGGGAACGCAGGCGGUCUUUUAAGUCUGAUGUGAAAGCCUUCGGCUUAACCGGAGUAGUGCAUUGGAAACUGGAAGACUUGAGUGCAGAAGAGGAGAGUGGAACUCCAUGUGUAGCGGUGAAAUGCGUAGAUAUAUGGAAGAACACCAGUGGCGAAAGCGGCUCUCUGGUCUGUAACUGACGCUGAGGUUCGAAAGCGUGGGUAGCAAACAGGAUUAGAUACCCUGAUAGUCCACGCCGUAAACGAUGAAUGCUAGGUGUUGGAGGGUUUCCGCCCUUCAGUGCCGCAGCUAACGCAAUAAGCA